Molecule: unclassified non-coding RNA, 304 nt
Filed under: Hevea brasiliensis (rubber tree)
Lineage: Eukaryota; Viridiplantae; Streptophyta; Magnoliopsida; Malpighiales; Euphorbiaceae
Source: RNAcentral
GCUCAAAACGUGAAAUGCCAUCUUUGUAUCCCCAUGCUAAAGGCAUAUUAUAUGCACUCAAGGACAAGAGAAUAGAUGUAGCAAUUGCUUCACGAUCACCAACCCCAGAUAUUGCAAAAGCAUUUCUUGGAAAAUUGAGCAUCAAAUCAAUGUUUGUAGCCCAGGAGAUAUUUUCCAGUUGGACUCACAAGACUGAACAUUUCCAGAGGAUUCAUUCAAGAACUGGGGUACCCUUUAAGUCAAUGCUCUUUUUUGAUGAUGAGGAUAGGAACAUCCAAGCGGUUUCAAAGAUGGGAAUAACGAG